GGGCCGGGGUGGCUGCUCGGCGGCGCCGGCCGCUGCGCCCCCGCGGCGCUCCCCGGCCCCGGAGUCCAGGCUGCUGAAAUUCCACACGACCAGCGUCUGCAGCAGCAGCACGGAAGAAAGUUGGGCAUAAAGAGAAUCUAUCAGAGUGAGGCCAGUGGUAGGAAGAGACGGACCAUCCAUCCACUCUGCUAGCAUCUGUGACUACUGACCUGCUGACAAAUGCUAGGCCAGGUACAGAGAUCCAAAGCUCACUACACCUGAAUCUCACCUCAGCCAGUUCCAGGUGCAGAAGAGCCAGAGGCAGAUAUGCUUCAGUCAAAGAUGGCCCGAGCAUCCUUUUCUGUGAAACAGGGAGAGAGCUAUUGUGAAAAUGAGAUGAAGUAAUGCCUCCACAUAUUUCAGGCACAUGGAUGAAGAAACCAAAUACCUAUCCAUCACUAGGGAGAUGCAGUGGAGGAGGGAAAAGAAGCAAAUGUUUGUUGGACCUCUGCUUCCUUCUUCACUCUGCACAGCUCUCUUUCCAUACAUUGAGUUAUGUCAUGUUUAGGACGUCCCUUUGUGGAUAUCCUAUCCCUUGAGGAUAUUCAUUUUCGUCUCCUUUGGACACAAGAAGGACAGGACCCAGUGUUGGUUGAAUCUGAAGAUGUGAAACCUGAGUACACAGAGGGUCAACUGUACUUUCUGUUUCCAUGGAUUUACCCUUUUUGGACAUUUUAUAUAUAUGGAAUCAUAUGCAAUGUGGCCUUUUUCAUAAAUGAGAAAAAAUCCCUUUGCAAACAGCUCAGGUUGCAGGAACAAAAUAAAAGCAAGAUGGGCAACUGCCUAACGAAUAACUUUUCCUUGUGGAAAGCAGAGAUAUUCUAGAUGAAGGGAAUGGUGGCUGCAUUAUAACUGGCAGUUAAGAGCUGCCCCAGGCUUGGCCUGCAGGUCCC
Long non-coding RNA from Castor canadensis (American beaver), 932 nucleotides. RefSeq lists it as uncharacterized. The record is from RefSeq and is a predicted model, not a curated record. NCBI's taxonomy places the organism in Eukaryota, Metazoa, Chordata, Mammalia, Rodentia, Castoridae.